RNAcentral lists this ribosomal RNA (916 nucleotides) under uncultured Weissella sp. RNAcentral's name for it is "bacterial SSU rRNA". It matches the Rfam family "Bacterial small subunit ribosomal RNA", at positions 534 to 1449 of the family's 1533-position model. The record is from RNAcentral. Lineage: Bacteria; Bacillati; Bacillota; Bacilli; Lactobacillales; Lactobacillaceae.
CCAAGCGUUAUCCGGAUUUAUUGGGCGUAAAGCGAGCGCAGACGGUUGUUUAAGUCUGAAGUGAAAGCCCACAGCUUAACUGUGGAAGUGCUUUGGAAACUGGAUGACUUGAGUGCAGUAGAGGAGAGUGGAACUCCAUGUGUAGCGGUGAAAUGCGUAGAUAUAUGGAAGAACACCAGUGGCGAAGGCGGCUCUCUGGACUGUAACUGACGUUGAGGCUCGAAAGUGUGGGUAGCAAACAGGAUUAGAUACCCUGGUAGUCCACACCGUAAACGAUGAGUGCUAGAUGUUUGAGGGUUUCCGCCCUUAAGUGUCGCAGCUAACGCAUUAAACACUCCGCCUGGGGAGUACGACCGCAAGGUUGAAACUCAAAGGAAUUGACGGGGACCCGCACAAGCGGUGGAGCAUGUGGUUUAAUUCGAAGCAACGCGAAGAACCUUACCAGCUCUUGACAUCCUUUGACCACUUCAGAGAUGAAGCUUUCCCUUCGGGGACAAAGUGACAGGUGGUGCAUGGUUGUCGUCAGCUCGUGUCGUGAGAUGUUGGGUUAAGUCCCGCAACGAGCGCAACCCUUAUUACUAGUUGCCAGCAUUUAGUUGGGCACUCUAGUGAGACUGCCGGUGACAAACCGGAGGAAGGUGGGGAUGACGUCAAAUCAUCAUGCCCCUUAUGAGCUGGGCUACGCACGUGCUACAAUGGCAAGUACAACGAGCAGCUAACCCGCGAGGGUACGCGAAUCUCUUAAAACUUGUCUCAGUUCGGAUUGUAGGCUGCAACUCGCCUACAUGAAGUCGGAAUCGCUAGUAAUCGCGGAUCAGCACGCCGCGGUGAAUACGUUCCCGGGUCUUGUACACACCGCCCGUCACACCAUGAGAGUUUGUAACACCCAAAGCCGGUGAGGUAACCUUUUAGGAGC